UGAGGAAUUUUCUGCAAUGGACGAAAGUCUGACAGAGCAAUACCGCGUGAGGGAAGAAGGCCUAUGGGUUGUAAACCUCUUUUCUCAAGGAGGAAGAUCUGACGUUACUUGAGGAAUAAGCAUCGGCUAACCCUGUGCCAGCAGCCGCGGUAAUACAGGGGAUGCAAGUGUUAUCCGGAAUCAUUGGGCGUAAAGCGUCUGCAGGUUGAUAUGUAAGUCUUUUGUUAAAUCUCUAGGCUUAACCUGGAAUCUGCAAAAGAAACUAUUUAUCUAGAGUAUGGUAGAGGUAAAGGGAAUUUCCAGUGGAGCGGUGAAAUGCGUAGAUAUUGGAAAGAACACCAACAGCGAAGGCACUUUACUGGGCCAUUACUGACACUCAGAGACGAAAGCUAGGGGAGCAAACAGG
Molecule: ribosomal RNA, 406 nt
Filed under: uncultured bacterium
Lineage: Bacteria
Description: bacterial SSU rRNA
Rfam family: Bacterial small subunit ribosomal RNA
Source: RNAcentral